This 216-nucleotide ribosomal RNA is filed under the name Albula vulpes (bonefish). Its description in RNAcentral is "partial 12S ribosomal RNA". It matches the Rfam family "Bacterial small subunit ribosomal RNA", at positions 898 to 1234 of the family's 1533-position model. The record is from RNAcentral. Lineage: Eukaryota; Metazoa; Chordata; Actinopteri; Albuliformes; Albulidae.
AACCCAAAGGACUUGGCGGUACCUUAGAUCCCCCUAGAGGAGCCCGUUCUAUAACCGAUGAUCCUCGUUAAACCUCACCAUCCCUUGUAAAUCCAGCCUAUAUACCGCCGUCGUCAGCUUACCUUGUGAAGGAUUAGUAGUAAGCUUAAUGGGUAUAGCCCAGAACGUCAGGUCGAGGUGUAGCUAAUGGGGUGGGAAGAAAUGGGCUACANNUCC